RNAcentral lists this ribosomal RNA (726 nucleotides) under uncultured bacterium. RNAcentral's name for it is "bacterial SSU rRNA". It matches the Rfam family "Bacterial small subunit ribosomal RNA", at positions 789 to 1515 of the family's 1533-position model. The record is from RNAcentral.
GGUAGACCACGCCGUAAACGAUGUCGACUUGGAGGUUGUGCCCUUGAGGCGUGGCUUCCGGAGCUAACGCGUUAAGUCGACCGCCUGGGGAGUACGGCCGCAAGGUUAAAACUCAAAUGAAUUGACGGGGGCCCGCACGAGCGGUGGAGCAUGUGGUUUAAUUCGAUGCAACGCGAAGAACCUUACCUACUCUUGACAUCCAGAGAACUUAGCAGAGAUGCUUUGGUGCCUUCGGGAACUCUGAGACAGGUGCUGCAUGGCUGUCGUCAGCUCGUGUUGUGAAAUGUUGGGUUAAGUCCCGCAACGAGCGCAACCCUUAUCCUUUGUUGCCAGCGGUUCGGCCGGGAACUCAAAGGAGACUGCCAGUGAUAAACUGGAGGAAGGUGGGGAUGACGUCAAGUCAUCAUGGCCCUUACGAGUAGGGCUACACACGUGCUACAAUGGCGCAUACAAAGAGAAGCGACCUCGCGAGAGCAAGCGGACCUCAUAAAGUGCGUCGUAGUCCGGAUUGGAGUCUGCAACUCGACUCCAUGAAGUCGGAAUCGCUAGUAAUCGUAGAUCAGAAUGCUGCGGUGAAUACGUUCCCGGGCCUUGUACACACCGCCCGUCACACCAUGGGAGUGGGUUGCAGAAGAAGUAGGUAGCUUAACCUUCGGGAGGGCGCUUACCACUUUGUGAUUCAUGACUGGGGUGAAGUCGUAACAAGGUAACCGUAGGGGAACCUGC